Aedes aegypti (yellow fever mosquito) is the source of this 557-nucleotide long non-coding RNA. RefSeq lists it as uncharacterized. The transcript has 2 exons. The record is from RefSeq and is a predicted model, not a curated record. Lineage: Eukaryota; Metazoa; Arthropoda; Insecta; Diptera; Culicidae.
CCUUAUUCUUGUUUACGUACGAAUUGGAUUCGUUCGAAUGUAUCGCUGAUUCGCAUUCUCGUUUUCGUUCGAAGCAAAUUCGAACCAUUCGAUCUUUCGAACAUCAAUCAUUCGAAGGUUUAGUCUAUUCUCGUUUUCGUUCGAACGCGUAUUUUUGUUUACUUUCAAUCCGCCACUCGGAACUUGCGGAUCGGAACGUAUCGCGAUUUUUUUUCUUCUCCAAAGUUGGUCUUUUCAUCACGAAACUUAAAAUGUUCAAAUGCAACAACAAAGACCAAUUUUUUUUACUGGUCGGAAACUUGGAGCAACAACCCAACAUCGCUAAGUGUUUCGCUAAAUUUACUACGGGUCCAUCCGGAGCAUUUCCUGAAGAAAAUUACUUAAGUAAUCCACGGACUGAUGCAAAACGAACUUAUUGUAAAAUUUUCGGAGGUGACAUUCCGAAAAUCCCUGGAAGCCCAAAAUAAUUUCCUGAAGUAUUGGACUGUGAUGUAACUAAAAUUCGUGAUAUUUUAUGUGAUGUUUAUUAAACUUGGAGAAAAUAAUCGUGAAACGAA